UCAGGAGUUAUUCCCCUUUCCAAUAUGGUGGCAUAGUGGUAUCACGGUUGCUAGAGAUCAAGUGCAGUAACAGAAAAAACAUGUCAAAGAACAUACACUACAAAUUGUCACGGACAUUCUUCGGUCUGUCGAUUGUGUUUUGUGUUACAACGGCAGGGUACGUCGUCUGGAACUACCAAUAUGCCGAGAGAGCGGCUAUGAGGGCCACAGUGUAUCGGGACUAUGAGAGACAGAAGCUAAAGGAACAUGCAAAACAGAUGGGGACAUUAGAACAGAUUUACAGAAAACAGGAAGAAGAUAUAUUGAAAGAGAAGAACUCUAACCAGUAACGACGGACCAGAACAUAGACUUACGUGUUCGAGGUAAAAAGGACCAUCAAGGAAGACUGUCGAGGAAUAGCAUCUACGUCAGUGGUCCGGAGAAUGUUAGAUCUGUGAUACACAUAAACUAUUUAUAUACCUCUCCAUCUUGAUUGAACAAGAUAAAAAAUAUCUAGAAAAUGUGAAACAUGCAGCGUUUAUUUUCAACUGUUUCUAUCAACUGCACGAGAGCGUGUAAACAGGUUUCACUGGAUAUAAAGCAGCUGACUUGGGGCGAUAAUGAUGGAAGGCUGUAUGUUAUGAUGAUUCAUGUGAAUUUUGGAUCUUGUUGCAUGGAUUAGAUAUAUGUAACCAGUAUAAUUAAUGCCUGAUUAUUUUGAAUUAAAGUUAUGUUACAUGGUACAGUUAUUUUUGCCUUCAAAUAAAUUUCUUAAAGUGUUGGUAAUAACAAGGGAAGCAAGUGUAUUGUAUAAUUGUUAAUCAGUUUAUCAAAUCUGUAAAACUUGCAACCUUAAUGAAAUAGUUCCUGUACAAGGACACCUGUUGUGGAGAUGAGUAGAUCUUCAGUUUCUUUUUUUACCAAAUUUUAAGUGUGAAUUGCUGUAUGCCAUGAUAAGAUAUCUUUUGAUCAGUUUUAGAAAGUUAUCUCAACAGUUGUAAAUUGCGUGUGAAAGCAUCAUGCCAUCUGUUUGUGUGUGAUAGUGUAAGUGAGUUGUAUGAUGGAGCAUGUUGUAAUGAAUAGUAAAUACUUGUGUGGAAGACAGAUGUUCACAGGAUGGUGUCAUCUUCAGGAUUCCAUCACACUUCAGAGUUCACAUGACCUUCAGGGCCUGUCAUUUAUAGGCCCAUGAAUGACAAUUUAGACAUUUAUCAGUGAUAAUCCGAUGAUCAGGAAAGACAUUAUUUCAUUAGUUUGAUAUCGGGUCUGAAGACAUCAUGAGGCCCGCACACAUCUAUACAUCAUGAGGCCCGCACACAUCCAUACAUCAUGAGGCCCGCACACAUCCAUACAUUACAAUGUCUACAGACAUCCAUACAUUACAAUGUCUACAGACAUCCAUACAUCAUGAGGCCCGCAGACAUCCAUACAUUACAAUGUCUACAGACAUCCAUACAUUACAAUGUCUACAGACAUCCAUACAUCUGGAGGCCAGCAGACAUCCAUACAUCUGGAGGCGCACAGACAUUCAUCCAUCAUGAGGCUCGAAGACAUCCAUACAUCUGGAGGCGCACAGACAUUCAUCCAUCAUGAGGCUCGAAGACAUCCAUACAUCUGGAGGCGCACAGAAUUCAUCCAUCAUGAGGCUGGAAGACAUCCAUACAUCUAGAGGUCUGCAGAAAUCCAUACAUUGCAAUGUCUACAGAUACCCAUACAUCAUGCAUUCUCUGACCAUAUUAGCUGUCAAGCUAUUGCUUUACCAUCCUCUGCGUAAUCCUGUGAUGUUUUCAGGAUCAUAUGUACAUUUCAAUGUGUGUGCACCUCAUUGUGGUACACUGACAAAAUGAAAUAAAGGAAAGUAACCCCGAUAGAUGAGAAUCCUUAUCAUGAAGCCUACACACAUCCAUACAUUAUGAGGUCUGCAUAAUUGACAAAAUCCAAGAUGGUCGCCUCUCUGCCAUGUUGUUUUCCGUUCGGUCACAAUAUGCACAACAAGGGACCAAGGGGAACUUACAUAUUAAAUUUGAGAAAGAUCCCUUAAAUAUUUUCUGAGAAAUAGUGAUAACAAGAUUUCCUUUCGCUUUAAGUUCUGCCAUUUCUUUACCAGUAAUCCUUCAAGUUUGUUAAGUUUACAUUGGUCAAUUGCUGGUCUUUGACCUCCUGAUGAACAUUUUGAUGUUCUUUUUCCCGUAACUGAAUUAAUUAUUAGUUUGUUGGUGCUGUAUAGUUUCCGUGCAAUCAAUCCUAUGGCAUUCGAGGGCUAGCUGACUGAUUAACAAUCACAUCCAGUUCUGCAUCUGCUUCUGCAUCUGCAACAGACGAGUUUUUGAGACCUUUUACAACUUUCUUCAUGGCCCAAACUUGCGCCCGGAGGCUUUCUAUUUCUUCCUCAAGUCUAUACAUCUGCACACAUCCAUACAUUAUGAGGUCUGCACACAUCCAUACAUUAUGAGGUCUACACACAUCAAUACAUUAUGAGGUCUGCACACAUCCGUACAUUAUGAGGUCUGCACACAUCCAUACAUUAUGAGGUCUGCACACAUCCAUACAUUAUGAGGUCUGCACACAUCCAUACAUUAUGAGGUCUACACACAUCCAUACACUAUGAGGUCUACACACAUCCAUACAUUAUGAGGUCUACACACAUCCAUACAUUAUGAGGUCUGCACACAUCCAUACAUUAUGAGGUCUGCACACAUCCAUACAUUAUGAGGUCUACACACAUCCAUAAAAGUAUUCUGAGGUCUAGACAUCCAUACAUUAUGAAGUUUGGAGACGUAUUCAUUAGAAGUUCUAUAGACAAUGACAUACAUAUAUUUGCCUCUCUAGGCCUAUAGAUACAAUUGAUUCCUUCAUUGUCAACAUAUUUGACAUCUUUGUUGUCUACAGAUAUGUGUACAUCUUGUUUGUCUUCUCCACAUGUCAAAUUAAUUAUGAAAUAAACAUCUACAGGUUCUAUAUUGUUUCCAGACUGCCAUCCAUUUUGAUGCCUCUGUUAUCUACAGACAUCCUUCUCAAGGUGUGUUUUUCUUCAUACAUAAAAAACAUCACAGCAAAUGCACAAAAACCUGGAUAAUGAUAGAAUCUGAAAGACACAUUGUUUUUUUAGGGAGAGGCCGACAGUUGUCUGAGAUAUAAAUGCAUGUGUCUGUUUGAUAGGACACAGUUUGUGAGUAGGAGCCUGCUAUGUGUGUUAUGGUUUUUGACAGCCUGUAGGUAAUAUCAGUCCCAUUUUAAUACCUCACAUACAUAACACUGAUAUGCAUGAUCGGAGAUAAUUUGAAGAGUAAUGUACCCUAUGUUGUGUAGAACAUGCUGUGUUCAUUAUGUAAUGCUGAGUGGAAUGAAAAUAAAAAGUAAAUAUCA
This is a long non-coding RNA of Pecten maximus, 3345 nucleotides long. RefSeq lists it as uncharacterized. The record is from RefSeq and is a predicted model, not a curated record. NCBI's taxonomy places the organism in Eukaryota, Metazoa, Mollusca, Bivalvia, Pectinida, Pectinidae. The transcript is spliced from 4 exons.